RNAcentral lists this ribosomal RNA (460 nucleotides) under uncultured bacterium. RNAcentral describes it as "partial 16S ribosomal RNA". It matches the Rfam family "Bacterial small subunit ribosomal RNA", at positions 338 to 795 of the family's 1533-position model. The record is from RNAcentral.
CCUACUGGUGACUUCAUUGAGGCAUAUUGGUCAAUGGGCGCGAGCCUGAACCAUCAACGUACCCCCACGUCUUCCUUCCCUCCUUUUUUUCCCCUUCUUUUCUCCCUUCAUCAAGUGAGGCACGUGUGCCUUUUUGUAUGUACUUUAUGAAUAAGGAUCGGCUAACUCCGUGCCAGCAGCCGCGGUAAUACGGAGGAUCCGAGCGUUAUCCGGAUUUAUUGGGUUUAAAGGGAGCGUAGAUGGGUUGUUAAGUCAGUUGUGAAAGUUUGCGGCUCAACCGUAAAAUUGCAAUUGAUACUGGCAGUCUUGAGUACAGUUGAGGUAGGCGGAAUUCGUGGUGUAGCGGUGAAAUGCUUAGAUAUCACGAAGAACUCCGAUUGCGAAGGCAGCUUACUAAACUGCCACUGACAUUGAUGCUCGAAAGUGUGGGUAUCAAACAGGAUUAGAUACCCUGGUAGUC